AGUGAACGCUGGCGGUAGGCCUAACACAUGCAAGUCGAACGGCAGCACAGUAAGAGGUUGCUCUUACUGGUGGCGAGUGGUGGACGGGUGAGGAAUACAUCGGAAUCUACUUUUUCGGGGGGGAUAAGGUAGGGAAACUUACGCUAAUACCGCAUACGACCUACGGGUGAAAGCAGUGGAACGUGGGACCUUGCGCGAUUGAAUGAGGAGAUGCCGAGUUGCCUAGAUGGGGGGGUAAAGGCCCACCAAGGCGACGAUCCGUAGCUGGGCUGAGAGGAUGACCAGCCACAUUGGACCUGGGCACCGGUCCAGACUCCUACGGGAGGCAGCAGUGGGGAAUAUUGGACAAUGGGCGCAAGCCUGCUCCAGCCAUACCGCUUGGGUGAAGAAGGCCUUCGGGUUGUAAAGCCCUUUUGUUGGGAAAGAAAAGCAGCAGGUUAAUAACCCGCUGUUCUGACGGUACCCAAAGAAUAAGCACCGGCUAACUUCGUG
RNAcentral lists this ribosomal RNA (492 nucleotides) under uncultured bacterium. RNAcentral describes it as "partial 16S ribosomal RNA". It matches the Rfam family "Bacterial small subunit ribosomal RNA", at positions 29 to 507 of the family's 1533-position model. The record is from RNAcentral.